AACCUGUGACUUGUGGAAUACAUGGGCUAUUUUGAAGAAGAUCAUGGAUUGGAUAAGCUUGGAUAUGGCCAUAUUUAUUUGAUGCCUGUCUCUUCAAGAUAAUAUAAUUGUGCAUUCGUGUGUUGCUUGAUUCCAAAAGUCCAAGGGAAUUCUGGGUUUCUAUUGACAUUCUUGUCUAUUGCAUUGCUACCCACUUGGUCAGAUCUUUUCAACUCUAAACUUUUAAAUUUUGUACAUAGGGUAGUCAUUUC
Molecule: long non-coding RNA, 251 nt
Filed under: Lathyrus oleraceus (garden pea)
Lineage: Eukaryota; Viridiplantae; Streptophyta; Magnoliopsida; Fabales; Fabaceae
Description: Pisum sativum (pea) long non-coding RNA (PSAT_LNC030478)
Source: RNAcentral